This 492-nucleotide ribosomal RNA is filed under the name uncultured bacterium. RNAcentral describes it as "partial 16S ribosomal RNA". It matches the Rfam family "Bacterial small subunit ribosomal RNA", at positions 29 to 507 of the family's 1533-position model. The record is from RNAcentral.
AGUGAACGCUGGCGGUAGGCCUAACACAUGCAAGUCGAACGGCAGCACAGUAAGAGCUUGCUCUUACGGGUGGCGAGUGGCGGACGGGUGAGGAAUACAUCGGAAUCUACUUUUUCGUGGGGGAUAACGUAGGGAAACUUACGCUAAUACCGCAUACGACCUACGGGUGAAAGCAGGGGAUAUUCUGACCUUGCGCGAUUGAAUGAGCCGAUGUCGGAUUAGCUGGUUGGCGGGGUAAAGGCCCACCAAGGCGACGCUCCGUAGCUGGUCUGAGAGAAGGAUCAGCCACACUGGAACUGGGACACGGUCCAGAGUCCUACGGGAGGCAGCAGUGGGGAAUAUUGGACAAUGGGGGCAAGCCUGAUCCAGCCGGAGCGCGUGGGUGAAGAAGGCCUUCGGGUUGUAAAGACCUUUUGUUGGGAAAGAAAAGCAGCAGGUUAAUACCCCGCUGUUCUGACGGUACCCAAAGAAUAAGCACCGGCUAACUUCGUG